AAUGAACGUUAGCGGCGUGGAUUAGGCAUGCAAGUCGCGCGAGAAGGGUUUGGUGCUUGCAUUGGACCUGGAAAGCGGCGAAAGGGAGAGUAACGCGUAGAUUACCUACCUUGGGGUUCGGGAUAGCGGCGGGAAACUGCCGGUAAUACCGAAUAAUAUCUCUGGAUUAAAGGUGCGAUUCCGCCUGGGGACGGGUCCGCGUCCUAUUAGCUUGUUGGUGGGGUAACGGCCUACCAAGGCGACGAUGGGUACGAGGUGUGAGAGCAUGACCUCGCUCACUGGGACUGAGACACUGCCCAGACACCUACGGGUGGCUGCAGUCGAGAAUCUUCGGCAAUGGGCGCAAGCCUGACCGAGCGACGCCGCGUGCGGGAUGGAGGCCUUCGGGUUGUAAACCGCUGUCGGAGGGGAUGAAAUGCCGUGGGGUUCUCCCUGCGGUUUGACAAACCCUCAGAGGAAGUGCGGGCUAAGUUCGUG
RNAcentral lists this ribosomal RNA (477 nucleotides) under uncultured bacterium. Its description in RNAcentral is "bacterial SSU rRNA". It matches the Rfam family "Bacterial small subunit ribosomal RNA", at positions 28 to 507 of the family's 1533-position model. The record is from RNAcentral.